GGAAACCGGGUCUAAUACCGGAUACGACCUUUCACCGCAUGGUGGUUGGUGGAAAGAUUUUUUGGUUUUGGAUGGACUCGCGGCCUAUCAGCUUGUUGGUGAGGUAAUGGCUCACCAAGGCGACGACGGGUAGCCGGCCUGAGAGGGUGACCGGCCACACUGGGACUGAGACACGGCCCAGACUCCUACGGGAGGCAGCAGUGGGGAAUAUUGCACAAUGGGCGCAAGCCUGAUGCAGCGACGCCGCGUGAGGGAUGACGGCCUUCGGGUUGUAAACCUCUUUCAGCAGGGAAGAAGCGAAAGUGACGGUACCUGCAGAAGAAGCGCCGGCUAACUACGUGCCAGCAGCCGCGGUAAUACGUAGGGCGCAAGCGUUGUCCGGAAUUAUUGGGCGUAAAGAGCUCGUAGGCGGUUUGUCGCGUCUGCUGUGAAAGCCCGGGGCUCAACCCCGGGUCUGCAGUGGGUACGGGCAGACUAGAGUGCAGUAGGGGAGACUGGAAUUCCUGGUGUAGCGGUGAAAUGCGCAGAUAUCAGGAGGAACACCGAUGGCGAAGGCAGGUCUCUGGGCUGUAACUGACGCUGAGGAGCGAAAGCAUGGGGAGCGAACAGGAUUAGAUACCCUGGUAGUCCAUGCCGUAAACGUUGGGCACUAGGUGUGGGGGACAUUCCACGUUUUCCGCGCCGUAGCUAACGCAUUAAGUGCCCCGCCUGGGGAGUACGGCCGCAAGGCUAAAACUCAAAGGAAUUGACGG
RNAcentral lists this ribosomal RNA (752 nucleotides) under uncultured bacterium. RNAcentral's name for it is "bacterial SSU rRNA". It matches the Rfam family "Bacterial small subunit ribosomal RNA", at positions 152 to 916 of the family's 1533-position model. The record is from RNAcentral.